RNAcentral lists this transfer RNA (67 nucleotides) under Cucujoidea sp. 26 KM-2017. Its description in RNAcentral is "tRNA-Leu". It matches the Rfam family "tRNA". Rfam says of the family: Transfer RNA (tRNA) molecules are approximately 80 nucleotides in length. The record is from RNAcentral. Lineage: Eukaryota; Metazoa; Arthropoda; Insecta; Coleoptera.
UCUAAUAUGGCAGAAUAGUGCAUUGGAUUUAAAUCCCAAAUAUAAAGCUCCCCCUCUUUUUUUAGAA